This 253-nucleotide ribosomal RNA is filed under the name uncultured bacterium. RNAcentral's name for it is "partial 16S ribosomal RNA". It matches the Rfam family "Bacterial small subunit ribosomal RNA", at positions 524 to 776 of the family's 1533-position model. The record is from RNAcentral.
UAUGAAGGUCCCGAGCGUUGUUCGGAAUUAUUGGGCGUAAAGGGUAUGCAGGCGGUUUCGUAAGUCUGGUGUGUAAGACCACAGCUUAACUGGGGGAACGCAUUGGAAACUGCGAGGCUUGAGUACAGGAGGGGGAGCUGGAAUUCCAGGAGUAGGGGUGAAAUCUGUAGAUAUCUGGAAGAACAUCAGUGGCGAAGGCGAGCUCCUGGCCAUGUACUGACGCUGAGAUACGAAAGCGUGGGGAGCGAACAGG